UAGAAGAUAAAGUGUGAUGGUUUGAUUCUC
This 30-nucleotide non-coding RNA is filed under the name Mus musculus (house mouse). Lineage: Eukaryota; Metazoa; Chordata; Mammalia; Rodentia; Muridae. The record is from RNAcentral.